Molecule: ribosomal RNA, 497 nt
Filed under: uncultured bacterium
Lineage: Bacteria
Description: partial 16S ribosomal RNA
Rfam family: Bacterial small subunit ribosomal RNA
Source: RNAcentral
GAUGAACGCCGGCGGCGUGCCUAAUACAUGCAAGUCGAGCGAACGGACGAGAAGCUUGCUUUUCUGAUGUUAGCGGCGGACGGGUGAGUAACACGUGGAUAACCUACCUAUAAGACUGGGAUAACUUCGGGAAACCGGAGCUAAUACCGGAUAAUAUUUUGAACCGCAUGGUUCAUAAGUGAAAGACGGUCUUGCUGUCACUUAUAGAUGGAUCCGCGCUGCAUUAGCUAGUUGGUAAGGUAACGGCUUACCAAGGCAACGAUGCAUAGCCGACCUGAGAGGGUGAUCGGCCACACUGGAACUGAGACACGGUCCAGACUCCUACGGGAGGCAGCAGUAGGGAAUCUUCCGCAAUGGGCGAAAGCCUGACGGAGCAACGCCGCGUGAGCGAUGAAGGUCUUCGGAUCGUAAAACUCUGUUAUUAGGGAAGAACAUAUGUGUAAGUAACUGUGCACAUCUUGACGGUACCUAAUCAGAAAGCCACGGCUAACUACGUG